This 538-nucleotide ribosomal RNA is filed under the name uncultured bacterium. Its description in RNAcentral is "bacterial SSU rRNA". It matches the Rfam family "Bacterial small subunit ribosomal RNA", at positions 8 to 526 of the family's 1533-position model. The record is from RNAcentral.
AGAGUUUGAUCAUGGCUCAGGACGAACGCUGGCGGCGUGCCUAAUACAUGCAAGUCGAGCGAAGUUUUUCUGGUGCUUGCACUAGAAAAACUUAGCGGCGAACGGGUGAGUAACACGUAAAGAACCUGCCUCAUAGACUGGGACAACUAUUGGAAACGAUAGCUAAUACCGGAUAACAGCAUUAACUGCAUGGUUGAUGUUUAAAAGUUGGUUUUGCUAACACUAUGAGAUGGCUUUGCGGUGCAUUAGCUAGUUGGUGGGGUAAAGGCCUACCAAGGCGACGAUGCAUAGCCGACCUGAGAGGGUGAUCGGCCACACUGGGACUGAGACACGGCCCAGACUCCUACGGGAGGCAGCAGUAGGGAAUCUUCCGCAAUGGGCGAAAGCCUGACGGAGCAACGCCGCGUGAGUGAAGAAGGAUUUCGGUUCGUAAAGCUCUGUUGUUAGGGAAGAAUGAUUGUGUAGUAACUAUACACAGUAGAGACGGUACCUAACCAGAAAGCCACGGCUAACUACGUGCCAGCAGCCGCGGUAAUAC